Long non-coding RNA from Falco peregrinus (peregrine falcon), 981 nucleotides. RefSeq lists it as uncharacterized. NCBI's taxonomy places the organism in Eukaryota, Metazoa, Chordata, Aves, Falconiformes, Falconidae. The transcript is spliced from 3 exons. The record is from RefSeq and is a predicted model, not a curated record.
CUGGGAUGACAUCUGAUGUGCCUCAUCUCCUCUGCCCAGUGAUGGGUGUCCUCCCCACCAUGGGUACCGGAGCCCCGUCUCUGCCUCCUGCCCUCCCCUGGGUUUGCAUGUGGUCAGUAUCCUGGCACAUGGAGCCAGAGGGGCUGUGCGGGAGAGUUUGUACCACAGCAGCAGAGGCUGGGGAAACCCAGAGACUUGAACCCCACUUUGAUGCAAACAGACAGGGAACCUGCUGGUGGUGCUGGAGGAGAUUCCAAGCAGUGCCAGCACAUCCCAGUCCUCCCAGUCCUUGUCUGAGUGUGGAGCAGGGGGCAGAGCUGGAGGUGCUGUUCUGGUUGGUGGUUGCUCUUCAGUCUUCAGCUACUUCAUCGGUAAGAAAUGGGUGAGGGGGGAUUUAUUGGGAGAACUUUUUGCUUUCUCUGCCAAGAGCAGAGUGACAGCACCCCUUGCAGGGACCCAGGGGAACAUUGCGAGCUCUCCAGCAGGUUGUUAAAAAAUCAUUUUCAUUAGGAAGCAGAAGUCCUGCUGCUGAGAAAGAUUGCUUCACGCGAGCAGAUUUGGGCUUGCUAACCAGUGUUCCACUUCCAGCAAACCCAAGUCACAUGCAGGAUGCUCUGCUUGUCUUGCCAAAAGAUGGGCCCCGGCCACACCAAGAGAAAAGUGUUCCUGUGGGCAGCACCCUUUUUGGUUUUACCAUGAACAAACCCUCAGACUUCCAGGGUCUACAUGCGCAGGGGCAAUGGCACCGCUUUCUCUCUGGAGAGAGGACUUACCUCCCGGAGAGGACCCUGUGCCCGGCCAUUGGGCACUUAGGGCAUCCCUGCAAGCGUUUGAUCGCAGAGCCACGGUCACUGCCCCCAAGCCUUGGCACAAGCUCCUAUUCAAUUUUCUGUUAGUUUUGCCCAUUGUUUAGCUUGUUUCAUUCCUCAUCCCAGUCUCCUCCUGUAUGUGUGAUUGAAUUCAAUACUUCUCACUGCCCAG